UGCGCAGGCGGGGAUGUAAGUCAGUGGUGAAAUACUGCCGCUCAACGGUAGAACUGCCAUUGAUACUGCAUCUCUUGAGUAUGGUUGAGGUAGGCGGAAUGUGUUGUGUAGCGGUGAAAUGCAUAGAUAUGACACAGAACGCCGAUUGCGAAGGCAGCUUACUAAGCCAUUACUGACACUGAGGCACGAAAGCGUGGGGAGCGAACAGGAUUAGAUACCCUGGUAGUCC
Molecule: ribosomal RNA, 229 nt
Filed under: uncultured bacterium
Lineage: Bacteria
Description: partial 16S ribosomal RNA
Rfam family: Bacterial small subunit ribosomal RNA
Source: RNAcentral